UACGUAGGGGGCAAGCGUUGUCCGGAAUCAUUGGGCGUAAAGAGCGUGUAGGCGGCCCGAUAAGUCCGCUGUGAAAGUCCAGGGCUCAACCCUGGAAUGCCAGUGGAAACUGUCGGGCUGGAGUCCGGAAGAGGCGAGUGGAAUUCCUGGUGUAGCGGUGAAAUGCGCAGAUAUCAGGAGGAACACCGGUGGCGAAGGCGGGUCUCUGGGCCGAUACUGACGCUGAGGAGCGAAAGCGUGGGGAGCGAACAGG
RNAcentral lists this ribosomal RNA (253 nucleotides) under uncultured bacterium. Its description in RNAcentral is "partial 16S ribosomal RNA". It matches the Rfam family "Bacterial small subunit ribosomal RNA", at positions 524 to 776 of the family's 1533-position model. The record is from RNAcentral.